AAUCAACGCUGGCGGCGUGCCUCAGACAUGCAAGUCGAACGAUUUAAACGUUUCCUUCGGGGAAGAUAUAGAGUGGCGCACGGGUGAGUAACACGUAAGUAAUCUACCCUUGGGUGGGGAAUAACAUCGGGAAACCGAUGCUAAUACCGCAUAAUGCAGCGGCUUCUUAUGAAGACAGUUGUUAAAGCAUUUAUGUGCCUGAGGAGGAGCUUGCGGCAGAUUAGCAGUUGGUAAGGUAAUGGCUUACCAAGGCGACGAUCUGUAGCCGACCUGAGAGGGUGGUCGGUCACACUGACACUGAAUAACGGGUCAGACUCCUACGGGAGGCAGCAGUCGGGAAUUUUGGGCAGUGGGCGCAAGCCUGACCCAGCAACGCCGCGUGAAGGAUGAAGUA
RNAcentral lists this ribosomal RNA (394 nucleotides) under uncultured bacterium. RNAcentral describes it as "bacterial SSU rRNA". It matches the Rfam family "Bacterial small subunit ribosomal RNA", at positions 32 to 415 of the family's 1533-position model. The record is from RNAcentral.